GUCCAUAAGAUGGACCAGAAAAUGGACUCAGUCCUGCGGAUCCUGAAGGAGCAGUUCCCACCCAAGCCAGAGUCCAAACCCUCCAUCCGUAGGGUGACCAUCCAGAAACGCAUGGGUGCCAGCAUCGACGAAGGGCCCUGAUGUCACAGAGACCUUCACAUUGGGACAAUUAACGGAGCAGGAGUUCACAUAAACAGCCUCCUAUGUGUGGGGCGGUUUACAAAUAACAUUAGGACAAAACAACCACUGUGAGUGGGAUUCAGGGCGUGGAAAACAAGCUAACCAACCUCUUCCUCUGGAUGAUUGUAGGCCCCGCAUGGGUCCUUUGUCGUUACUUCAGUGUAGCUUACUCUUCUGCUAGUAUUGUGGGCCCUCAGUCUGUGCCUGCGGUCAUUUAUUUCACUAUAUUAGCCUCAUAAUCACACUUCUCUAUGAUGUAAAUUUAUGUGUGGCCUGUCACUGAGCUGCAUUCCUCCACUCCAAAUAUUAUUCCAAAGCUAACUAACCCCAUAAUGAAGUCGUAAUGCAAUCAAAGCACUCAAGUUCCCCAAAGACGUUGAAAAAAAAAAACUCUAAGUGCAGCCAUGGCAGAGGCAUUCCUCAAAUCCUUCUGAUUAUCUUGGCACCAUCCACCCACCCAGUACACAACAGGGCUAUUUCCAUAGACACAUAUCCAUCUAGCCUAACUGUACUUAGGCUGCAGCGGGUGUUUGUUAGUAGUGAUCGAAUAACAUGAGGAGGGAAGGGCAGAUUAUCUGUUGACUUUGCCCUGCAUUAGCGACCGGAAGGCUGGAGUAAAAGAAAUGGAACUAAAGAAAUGUGUCUGGCCUUGGUUGGGUGGCUAAGAUGGUGCUGAUUUACAGCGAGGUUAGAGCUAAUAAAAAUAGCCAAACUGCCGUGACAGGACCUGUGUUUUCUUGAGGUUUUUGCUGGGAGUUUUCAUAUCAUUAUCAAUCUCAAACUCUUUUAGCAGGACCACUAAUCACACCACCACCAGGGCUCUGCUUAAUAUCUCCUCAUACCCUCGUCAGGGCACUUAGACCGCUGGGUUCCAUUUGAAAUAAAUUUGCCCCAUUAAAGCUCUGAUUAUUUUUUCUCUCCUGAGCUAAUUAAGUGCUGAAUUCCUGGUAAGGGGAGAUUACCGACUGUGAGCGACUAAUGAAAAGAAACACUGGAAAAUGUGCAGAAUUUAAACAGUGAGCUUUGAGGAGCAGGCACUCUAAUUCUGUGUGAAAGGUUUGGAAAUAUCAGGCUACCACUGAGAGCGACUUUUUCACUUUGUUUCCACCCUCGUAGUAUGUAUCUGAGAGGGCGCUGAGGCGUGUAAGAAGAAGGAAAUAAGAAAUAACUCAACUAUGUAGCUAUUGUAUGAAAGGCCUCCCAUAAUUAUAGCAUGCACAUUCCUAAAAAGAAGGAUGCACACACAAAAGAGCGAUGAAGCGGAAAGAGAAGAGGCUUUUUCUCUGCACUUGCAUAUAUUUUCAUAUUUUUGCAGUGGUUGAAAAUUAGCUAUUAUUUAUCUUCUAUAAAGUGGUUGUAUUUUAAAAGCACUCUAAUUUUGUGACAGACCUCGAUACAUAUCCGCCUGUCUGUUCUCCUGUACAGUUUUAUAAGAGUUGUAAAUAGAAUCACUGCCUUAUUGUACUUACUGUAUUUAUUAUAAUGUGGAAAGAUCAACCUGGAACAUGUACGCUUGUUGGGGUGGUGAGAAACACAGUGAGGCUUCCGUUGUUCAAAUGGAUGGAAACGAUUGUAAAUGGUAUUCACACACACCCUCUGCACUGUAGCUCUGCUGUAAAUAAUAAAACUCCAUUUC
Long non-coding RNA from Amphiprion ocellaris (clown anemonefish), 1816 nucleotides. The record is from Ensembl. NCBI's taxonomy places the organism in Eukaryota, Metazoa, Chordata, Actinopteri, Pomacentridae.